GUGUGAGGCUGAUGUGUAGGCAAAUCCGCACAUCGUAAGGCUGGGCUGUGAUGGGGAGCGAAAAUUGCAGUAGCGAAGGUCAUGAGUUCGGGCUGCCAAGAAAAGCCUCUAGCCAGGUGAAGGUGCCCGUACCGCAAGCCGACACAGGUAGGCGAGCAGAGUAUGCUAAGGCGCUCGGAAGAACUCUCGUUAAGGAACUCGGCAAAAUGACCCCGUAACUUCGGGAGAAGGGGUGCCUCGGUAGGGUGAAUAGCCCGAGGGGGCCGCAGUGAAAAGGCCCAAGCGACUGUUUAGCAAAAACACAGGUCUGUGCGAAGCCGUAAGGCGAAGUAUACGGGCUGACGCCCCCCGGUGCUGGAAGGUUAAGGGGAGUGGUUAGCCGCAAGGCGAAGCUAUGAACCGAAGCCCCAGUAAACGGCGGCCGUAACUAUAACGGUCCUAAGGUAGCGAAAUUCCUUGUCAGGUAAAUUCUGACCCGCACGAAUGGCGUAACGACUUGGGCGCUGUCUCAACGAGAGAUCCGGUGAAAUUUUAAUACCUGUGAAGAUGCAGGUUACCCGCGACAAGACGGAAAGACCCCAUGGAGCUUUACUGCAGCUUGAUAUUGGACUUUGGUACGAUCUGUACAGGAUAGGUGGGAGCCUUGGAAACCGGAGCGCCAGCUUCGGUGGAGGCAUCGUUGGGAUACCACCCUGAUCGUAUCGGAGUUCUAACCUGGUACCGUGAUCCGGUACAGGGACCGUGUCAGGUGGGCAGUUUGACUGGGGCGGUCGCCUCCUAAAAUGUAACGGAGGCGCCCAAAGGUUCCCUCAGAAUGGUUGGAAAUCAUUCGUAGCGUGCAAAGGCAUAAGGGAGCUUGACUGCGAGACCUACAAGUCGAGCAGGGACGAAAGUCGGGCUUAGUGAUCCGGUGGUACCGCAUGGAAGGGCCAUCGCUCAACGGAUAAAAGCUACCCUGGGGAUAACAGGCUUAUCUCCCCCAAGAGUCCACAUCGACGGGGAGGUUUGGCACCUCGAUGUCGGCUCAUCGCAUCCUGGGGCUGAAGUAGGUCCCAAGGGUUGGGCUGUUCGCCCAUUAAAGCGGUACGCGAGCUGGGUUCAGAACGUCGUGAGACAGUUCGGUCCCUAUCUGUCGUGGGCGUAGGAAAUUUGAGAGGAGCUGUCCUUAGUACGAGAGGACCGGGAUGGACGCACCGCUGGUGUACCAGUUGUUCCGCCAGGAGCAUAGCUGGGUAGCUACGUGCGGACGGGAUAAGCGCUGAAAGCAUCUAAGCGUGAAGCCCCCCUCAAGAUGAGAUUUCCCAGUAUGUAAGACCCCUGGAAGACGACCAGGUUGAUAGGUUCGAGGUGGAAGCGCAGCAAUGCGUGGAGCUGACGAAUACUAAUCGGUCGAGGGCUUAUCUA
This 1404-nucleotide ribosomal RNA is filed under the name metagenome. RNAcentral's name for it is "bacterial LSU rRNA". It matches the Rfam family "Bacterial large subunit ribosomal RNA", at positions 1517 to 2925 of the family's 2925-position model. The record is from RNAcentral.